RNAcentral lists this ribosomal RNA (439 nucleotides) under uncultured bacterium. Its description in RNAcentral is "partial 16S ribosomal RNA". It matches the Rfam family "Bacterial small subunit ribosomal RNA", at positions 339 to 795 of the family's 1533-position model. The record is from RNAcentral.
CUACGGGGUGCUCCAGUGAGGAAUAUUGCACAAUGGGGGGAACCCUGAUGCAGCAACGCCGCGUGGAGGAUGACGCAUUUCGGUGUGUAAACUCCUUUUAUAUGUCAAGAAAAUGACGGUAGCAUAUGAAUAAGCACCGGCUAACUCCGUGCCAGCAGCCGCGGCAAUACGGAGGGUGCAAGCGUUACUCAGAAUCAUUGGGCGUAAAGGACGCGUAGGCGGGUUGGAAAGUCAGGUGUGAAAUCCUACAGCUUAACUGUAGAACUGCACUUGAAACUUCUAAUCUAGAGUAUGGGAGGGGGAGAUGGAAUUAGUGGUGUAGGGGUAAAAUCCGUAGAUAUCACUAGGAAUACCUAAAGCGAAGGCGAUCUCCUGGAACAUUACUGACGCUAAGGCGUGAAAGCGUGGGGAGCAAACAGGAUUAGAUACCCGCGUAGUC